RNAcentral lists this ribosomal RNA (481 nucleotides) under uncultured bacterium. RNAcentral describes it as "bacterial SSU rRNA". It matches the Rfam family "Bacterial small subunit ribosomal RNA", at positions 23 to 496 of the family's 1533-position model. The record is from RNAcentral.
CUCAGAUUGAACGCUGGCGGCAGGCCUAACACAUGCAAGUCGAGCGGUAACAGAGAGUAGCUUGCUACUUUGCUGACGAGCGGCGGACGGGUGAGUAAUGCUUGGGAACAUGCCUUGAGGUGGGGGACAACAGUUGGAAACGACUGCUAAUACCGCAUAAUGUCUACGGACCAAAGGGGGCUUCGGCUCUCGCCUUUAGAUUGGCCCAAGUGGGAUUAGCUAGUUGGUGAGGUAAUGGCUCACCAAGGCGACGAUCCCUAGCUGGUUUGAGAGGAUGAUCAGCCACACUGGGACUGAGACACGGCCCAGACUCCGUACGGGAGGCAGCAGUGGGGAAUAUUGCACAAUGGGCGCAAGCCUGAUGCAGCCAUGCCGCGUGUGUGAACGAAGGCCUUCGGGUUGUAAACGUCACUUUCAGCGAGAGGAAAGCUUAAGCGUUAAUAGCGUUUAGGUGUGACGUUACUCGCAGAACGAAGACCGG